Molecule: ribosomal RNA, 373 nt
Filed under: uncultured bacterium
Lineage: Bacteria
Description: bacterial SSU rRNA
Rfam family: Bacterial small subunit ribosomal RNA
Source: RNAcentral
AGAGGGGGCAAGCGUUGUUCGGAAUUACUGGGCGUAAAGGGCGCGUAGGCGGCCUGUUAAGUCGAACGUGAAAUCCCCGGGCUCAACCCGGGAACUGCGUCCGAAACUGACAGGCUCGAAUCCGGGAGAGGGAUGCGGAAUUCCAGGUGUAGCGGUGAAAUGCGUAGAUAUCUGGAGGAACAUCGGUGGCGAAGGCGGCAUCCUGGACCGGUAUUGACGCUGAGGCGCGAAAGCCAGGGGAGCAAACGGGAUUAGAUACCCCGGUAGUCCUGGCCCUAAACGAUGAAUGCUUGGUGUGGCGGGUAUCGAUCCCUGCCGUGCCGAAGCUAACGCAUUAAGCAUUCCGCCUGGGGAGUACGGUCGCAAGGCUGAA